This 210-nucleotide unclassified non-coding RNA is filed under the name uncultured Clavulinaceae. Its description in RNAcentral is "sequence contains ITS1". The record is from RNAcentral. Lineage: Eukaryota; Fungi; Basidiomycota; Agaricomycetes; Cantharellales; Hydnaceae.
ACGAAUUGUAAAUGGGGGUUGAUGCUGGCAAGCUAAUUCUUUGACUGCAUGUGCUCCCUCCCAACAAUCUUUGACACACCUGUGCACCUUCUGAGGGUUUUCCGAGUAAGAUGGCUGAUUCUGGUGAUCUUCUUAGGAAUCCCCUCUUCUUCACAUACGCUGUUAAUAAUAUUGAACGUGCUCGUGCCUAUCAAGGCCCUAAUAAAAAUA